AACUUCUGAAUGUUGACCUCGAAUCAGGUAGGAAUACCCGCUGAACUUAAGCAUAUCAAUAAGCGGAGGAAAAGAAACUAACAGGGAUUGCCCCAGUAACGGCGAGUGAAGCGGCAACAGCUCAAAUUUGAAAUCUGGCUCUCGGGCCCGAGUUGUAAUUUGUAGAGGAUGCUUUUGGUGAGGUGCCUUCCGAGUUCCCUGGAACGGGACGCCAUAGAGGGUGAGAGCCCCGUCUGGUCGGACACCGAUCCUCUGUAAAGCUCCUUCGACGAGUCGAGUAGUUUGGGAAUGCUGCUCUAAAUGGGAGGUAUAUGUCUUCUAAAGCUAAAUACCGGCCAGAGACCGAUAGCGCACAAGUAGAGUGAUCGAAAGAUGAAAAGAACUUUGAAAAGAGAGUUAAAAAGUACGUGAAAUUGUUGAAAGGGAAGCGCUUGUGACCAGACUUGGGCUUGGUUGAUCAUCCAGGGUUCUCCCUGGUGCACUCUUCCGGCCCAGGCCAGCAUCAGUUCGCCCCGGGGGAAAAAGGCUUCGGGAAUGUGGCUCUCUCCGGGGAGUGUUA
RNAcentral lists this ribosomal RNA (559 nucleotides) under Fusarium oligoseptatum. RNAcentral's name for it is "partial 28S ribosomal RNA". It matches the Rfam family "Eukaryotic large subunit ribosomal RNA", at positions 1 to 558 of the family's 3401-position model. Lineage: Eukaryota; Fungi; Ascomycota; Sordariomycetes; Hypocreales; Nectriaceae. The record is from RNAcentral.